This 257-nucleotide long non-coding RNA is filed under the name Elaeis guineensis (African oil palm). RNAcentral's name for it is "long non-coding RNA (EGUI_LNC065278)". Lineage: Eukaryota; Viridiplantae; Streptophyta; Magnoliopsida; Arecales; Arecaceae. The record is from RNAcentral.
ACCUUUAGGAUUUCAACCGGGCUCCUGCGAGAGCCGAACUUCUACUACAAGCGAUCUGCUCCGAACACCUACUAUGAGCAGUCUACUCCGAACUCCUACAGCGGGCGGUCUACUCUGGAUCUCUACUGUAAGCAAAUUUCUUUCAAGCCUCUACUGUAAACACAUUUCUUCCAAACUUCUAUUACAGGUAGACUUCAGCCGAGCUUCUUCAUAGCUGGAUUCCAGAUGAGCUUCUACAAUGGGACAGGACCUACCGG